This is a long non-coding RNA of Sander lucioperca (pikeperch), 617 nucleotides long. RefSeq lists it as uncharacterized. The transcript is spliced from 2 exons. Lineage: Eukaryota; Metazoa; Chordata; Actinopteri; Perciformes; Percidae. The record is from RefSeq and is a predicted model, not a curated record.
AUAUGUGUGUGUGUGUGUGUGUGUGUGUGUGGCGAGGGGGCGAGGCCAGGGACUGGUCAGGGACGAGAGGGAGACAUCAUGGGAAGGCAUGGUCAGGAGUCCUCGGUGCCUGAGUCGUCGUCAUCAUAACAACAGUCCUCGUUGUCGUCCUCGUCGUCUUCCUCCAGUUCCUCGUCGUCGUAGUAGUCAUCGUACAAGAGGUUGGAGCCGUCGUCUGUGGGCGGGACUUGGGUGCGGACACAGUACUCGUCCAACGUGACGGGAACCUUGACGCCGUCCCGCUCCGCUUCAGCUUUUGUAGCCACCACCUGCUUCCUGUGAGGAGGAAAGACAGAAGAGAAAAACAAAACAAAAAAAGCAGAUGAGGACACACAGAGCUUCAGUGCUGCUGCUCUGUGUACCUGCUACGCUGACGAGCUCCCAUUUGAAGUGUGAAAGGUGCUGUGUGUGCGCGCUGCUGUUUUUCCUCUUGGUACCUGAUGAUCUCGAUGUAUUCUCUGUCCUUGCCCUUGCUGUCCCUCCACUUUCGGUACAUGACGGACGCGUCCACGUUGGCCGGGGAGAAAGUGUUGGGCUCGUUCAGCAAAGAGAUCACACUGAGCAGGAUGGUCCUGAGA